UGAGUCAGAAAUUCAUCUGGAACGUCCCCCCGAAGUAGGAUUUCCCACUCGGAAAGUCGGACAAUCCUCACCAACCCAACUUGACGACAACGUCAUAAUCCAAGAUGGCAGCACAGUGCAUCAACUGUAAAGAGUAACAGUAAAAGCUCUCAUAAUAUUUUAUUUAUCAGCACUUCUGUUUUUGUGAAAUUAAAGAAGUGGUAUACACUCACCGGCCACUUUAUUAGGUACACCAUGCUAGUAACGGGUUGGACCCCCUUUUGCCUUCAGAACUGCCUCAAUUCUUCUUGGCAUAGAUUCAACAAGGUGCUGGAAGCAUUCCUCAGAGAGCUUGGUCCAUAUUGACAUGAUGGCAUCACACAGUUGCCGCAGAUUUGUCGGCUGCACAUCCAUGAUGCGAAUCUCCCGUUCCACCACAUCCCAAAGAUGCUCUAUUGGAUUGAGAUCUGGUGACUGUGGAGGCCAUUUUAGUACAGUGAUUUCAUUGUCAUGUUCAAGAAACCAGUCUGAGAUGAUUCCAGCUUUAUGACAUGGCGCAUUAUCCUGCUGAAAGUAGCCAUCAGAAGUUGGGUACAUUGUGGUCAUAAAGGGAUGGACAUGGUCAGCAACAAUACUCAGGUAGGCUGUGGCGUUGCAACGAUGCUCAAUUGGUACCAAGGGGCCCAAAGAGUGCCAAGAAAAUAUUCCCCACACCAUGACACCACCACCACCAGCCUGAACCGUUGAUACAAGGCAGGAUGGAUCCAUGCUUUCAUGUUGUUGACGCCAAAUUCUGACCCUACCAUCCGAAUGUCGCAGCAGAAAUCGAGACUCAUCAGACCAGGCAACGUUUUUCCAAUCUUCUAUUGUCCAAUUUCGAUGAGCUUGUGCAAAUUGUAGCCUCAGUUUCCUGUUCUUAGCUGAAAGGAGUGGCACCCGGCGUGGUCUUCUGCUGCUGUAGCCCAUCUGCCUCAAAGUUCGACGUACUGUGCGUUCAGAGAUGCUCUUCUGCCUACCUUGGUUGUAACGGGUGGUUAUUUGAGUCACUGUUGCCUUUCGAUCAGCUCGAACCAGUCUGGCCAUUCUCCUCUGACCUCUGGCAUCAACAAGGCAUUUCCGCCCACAGAACUGCCGCUCACUGGAUAUUUUUUCUUUUUCGGACCAUUCUCUGUAAACCCUAGAGAUGGUUGUGCGUGAAAAUCCCAGUAGAUCAGCAGUUUCUGAAAUAUUCAGACCAGCCCUUCUGGCACCAACAACCAUGCCACGUUCAAAGUCACUCAAAUCACCUUUCUUCCCCAUACUGAUGCUCGGUUUGACCUGCAGGAGAUUGUCUUGACCAUGUCUACAUGCCUAAAUGCACUAAGUUGCCGCCAUGUGAUUGGCUGAUUAGAAAUUAAGUGUUAACGAGCAGUUGGACAGGUAUACCUAAUAAAGUGGCCGGUGAGUGUAUGUUGUACUGCCCAACGUCAUGGACACGGUGCUAUGGUGUUUGUAAGAGUAAAAUACUGUGUUAUGCGUUGUUUACGACUGGUAUCGCAAACAACAACUAAAAACUGCUGACAACAGCUAACAACAACUGACAAUGGCAAAUGACAGCUGACAAUUGUAAACAACAGCUAACAUGGGUAACUGGAGGCAUCCAUCUUGGUUUUGCGACUUGUUAACUGGAACGCCAUUAACUUGGGUGUGACAUCAUUCCGAGCUCCAACAUCUGACUUCCGAGGUAACUGAAACGCAGCGUAAAUACUUGUUUUCUAUCACCCUCCAAAAAUCAUCAUGCUGUUAACCAACCCUGUUCAAUGUAUUAGAUUGAAUUCAUGGUAAAUAUGCGUCUAAGAAGAACUGAGUUCUGUUACUAAGCAGCGACCUAAAGUGAAGCCAGUGCCAAAGCGGAGAAAUAGCAGCUCUUCAAGGGUCCCCUUGACCUGCAAAGAGACAUGAUUUACACUCAUGAUUGAAAACUCAUGAAUGGCACAUAUUUACAAUCAGGGACAAAAAUGGUUUUGGUCUGAAAGGAUGAUUUCGACACGUCUAGCUGCCACUGAUGAGUGUCAGAAUACUGCUUUAUGAACCAGUUGGUGAUAUCUCUGAGAAGCAAAAUGAAUAAAGAAGGAGGUCCAUGGAGACAUCAAACCGAAUUAUUGAUUUGCAGCAACAAGACAAUUGCUUGUAUCAUUGUACAUGACACAAAAAACAACAAACAGUUAAAUGAGUUGUUUUUUGUCAUCAUGUGUGGGAUUUUUCAUAAAAUCAAAUCUGUAGCAGCCUUUACUAACAUCUCUUUCAACUGAAUUUUGAGUUUUUCUUUAGGGUUGUACCAAACAAAUCUGUGUAUUUGUGUUUUCUGCUGUCACGCUAGAUGUGCUGAUAGAUAGUUUUUGACCCCAGCUUCCUUUAUGAUGGACUUUUCUUUCUAGUUUGUGUGUUAAUGUUUUCUUUUCUGACAAUCUCUUUGCGACCCCAACAGCUUAGUGUACAAAUUGAGUGUCUGCAAAAAAGAUGUGUUUAUUUUUUCCUUCACUCUAUAUUUUGUAUGCGUUGUAGUGAAUUGUGGUGGAGUACAAUAGCUGUAAAAACUUUCGUAGUUGACAUGCACAAAUUGCCUCGUCAACCUGAAUAGUGGGUGCAAAAAUGAUAAGUUGCCUCCAAUGAAAAUGUCACUCUGUGGUUUCACCUGCAGGAAAUAGAGGUCACAGUUUCUAAAUGAGAAAUCGUGGUGUGUUUUUGUGUAACAUUUAAUAGAGAUGUGAAAAUGAGGAUGAUGACUGUGCAUGUGUUUGUGUGUUUGUUGGAAAUGUGAAGGCAUAGGGGAGCUGUUGUCAAGCCGUGAAUUCUAAAUAAUCCUGUUGAAUUAAUUUUCAUCUUGAACUAGAUUCUCAAAGUGCCUGCAGGUCUCUGAUUUACCAAAGCAAUGAUGCUUCCUUCAUUAGGAGACACUUUGAAUAUCCCGAACAUGUUGAAUAUUUCAUUUGAUGACUUCACAGCAUCGAUGAAUAUUCAUUCUUUGGCUUUGUGUGCCUCCACCGACAAGUGUUAAUGGGAAAAUCUUAAUCCUAAAACACAUGUUCACAUCAAUUACUGCUGCUGUAUUUUGCUGUUUGUGGUCCUUGCAGUUUUAGUUUUCUAUUUUACAGGCAAAUGGUGGAGGUCCUGCAUGACUGUAUGACCAGCAUUUGCAAGAAUACAACCUCUGGGCCGUUGUUGUCAGUCUCUGAAAACAAUAGCUAGCAUGCCUUGAAUAAUCAGACUCAAUUUGAGCUUUUUUGCUCCAAGAGCCUGACUACCAGAAAGGCACAGAUGUUAAAAAGGACAAGGUUACUUUUACACCUGAAUAUGCUCAUUAGUACCUAUAAAUUUAAAAAGAAGGGUCUAUUUUCCUGUUAUGCACUUCAUUGAUGACACAUAUGCUGGCGGAGGUUUUGCAGCUCCAGUUAUCCCCCUCCUCAUACAUCCUCUGAGGCUGGAGUUCAUUUCAGCCAAACUUUCACAACAUGCAUCAAAAUAAAGCCAAAAAAAUUGACAUUUUCGGGAGAUGAGUUCAUUUCCAACAUUCAAAAAAGCCCCAGAUGAAUGUUGUCUAUAUGAUCAGAGUUAAUUGCUUGACCUCGACCUGAACAGAAGUAGUGUAUCCAUCCCUCAUGAACUCACAGUGACAGCAACAAUAGUUUGUCUCGUAUCUGGCUGACAGAUCUCUUUGAAACCCUGCAAACUACAAGGCUGUCCACUUGUGAUCAAAUCUGUAUGAAUGUUGAUACCAGGUGUAAACAGCUUUGCAGACAAACUAGAUUCAAAAUAACUUACUCCAGAGAAAUAAUAGAGUUAAAUGAAGCAGACCAACGGUCAUCGUAAACAUAGCGUUUGAUUAUUUUUGAUGCGCUUGAAGAUCAAAAUCAAACUACAUGCAGGCCAGACAAUAUUGUUGUAGAUAAGGCAAGUUUUUAAAGGUCACCAAUGAAACUUUUAUGAUUAAAAAGUUGCUCAAAUACAAUUUCAGUGUGGGGUGAUCAGUCUCAAAACAAUAAAGUUUCAGAUCUCUUUCAGCUUUUUAAAAAUAUUCCCCGUCACUGACUCGCUGUGAAGUGUCUUGCAAGAGUUUCUCAUCUUCAGGAGACGAAGCAGAUAAAAAACAUCAUUUACAUACCGACUGCUGUACGUCUGUGUGAGAGCUGAGCAAACAUAAAACAGAGGUACUGCCUGCCUCUGUUUGAAAGCUUUUUCAGAGGAGAGGUGUCUGACUCCUGCAAAAAGUUGACGAUUCUAAAUUUGCAGUCUCGAAGGCUGUGUAGGGUCUGUGUGCGUAUGUGGAUGUUUUGAGAGUGUGAGAAGGAGGGAAAGUGAGUACUCCACUUGAAGCUGGAGAGCUGCAGGGCUGUGAUCAGAGGGAAGCCCCUUAAUGAGUUGAUCCGGGCAAGUCUUUGAUGCUGUUCCUCUCAGGGGAGUUUGAGAAAGAAAAGAAGCGAGGCGGGAUGGUGGGAUGACCUUUCAACUUACGCCGUUACACAAACUGAAGCCGCAGGGUAACAUGACAAAAAACAAAGACAUUAUUUCAUGAAAUGUGCAAUUUUGCUCCAACAUUAAUUUGUGUGGCUUUCUGAAAAUUCUUUCAACUAGUGUUGUGUCGUUCGUCAACAAUUUGUUAAAAAAAACCCAAAUCUUUUAAGUGAAUGUACCGAACCGAAUCACUUCCUCGAGUGAUUCGUUCGUCUCUCACUUCAGUUGAUCAUUUUUGUCGGACAAAACUACUUUUUUUUUCUUGCUAAAUUGCCACCACAACAACUUGCAUACAAUAGGACACAACAAGUAGUGCAUUAAUCCCGCAGCAUCCUAUCAUUGCAGCGGUUUGCGAGGGAACGGUGCAUGUUUAGUGUGAAUCCAGUUAACAAGUCGAAAAACCAAGAUGAACACCUACUUAGCCAUUGUUAGCCUUUGUUGACAUUUGUCAGCUGUUAUUAGUCGUUGUCAGCUGUUGUUCGUCAUUGUUAGCUAUACCAGUUGUAAACAACGUAUAACACAGUAUUUCACUCUUACAAACAGCAUAGCACCGUGUUCACAGUUAGACGUUGGGCAGUACAACAUAAACCACUUUUUUAAUUUCACAAAAACAAAACAGAAGUGCUGAUAAAUGACACAUUAUGAGAGCUUUCACUGUUACUCUUUACUGUUGAUGCUCUGCGCUGCCAUAUUGGAUUAUGACGUCGUCAAGUCAGGGUGGUUGAGGAUUGUCUGACUUUCUGAGUGAGCUAUCUGACUUCAAGGGGGUGUUCCAGAUGAAUUUCGGACUCAGAGCUUGGAAAUUCCAACUUCCGACAACUGGAAUGCAGCAUUAGAGCUCCUCCUACUGGCUGUGCAAGAUCAGCGCAUAAGCCCCGCCUCCUUCAUAUUAUCAAACAGACCACAGGACACUGAAAGACCAGUUAAAGUCUGAUGGAAGAGUUCAUAUGACAGAGAAAAUCAGCCCCCAAACACUUAAUCUGGGUGUGCUAGUCCCACUAAGAGAAGUUUGAUUCUGUGCGAUUUAAAUUUAACACAUCUACACAAUUUUUUUUUAAGUCCGGUUUCAGGCGUAUAAAUGCAAUAAAUGGAUUUUUUGAACAACAUGUAAAGGUACUCUCUGUCCCCAAUAAAGAAAUUAAUCCAGAUGAGGUCUUGCAGUAUGUGACCCCGCAGGGUCUCCAGUCUUUUGCAAAAUUAAAAACCAUUUGUCAGUUUGUCAAUCUUAAUUGAUGUCUUUGUCAGUCUAGACAGUGAGAGCGGUUGAACAUGCGCUGUGUGUGUCGCUUUUGCCCAGCUGGGAUCUAUGACUUCACAUCAGUUCAGUCAGUGCUGUUUUUGUCUGAGCACAUGAAAGAAGCAUGGUUGCUUCUGAUGUUUCCUAUUGUGUGCUGUCAAAGCUACAGGUCGGACCAAAGUGUGCGUCAGUGUCUCUACGCGACUCUCUGAUGCAGUCGCUGAUCCUGUUGGCGUUUCAUCAAUUCAUGAGAGACAAUUGGGCUUCCUGAUGUGUAAAAGGUGACAAACACAUCUCAGUCUGAGUGUGUUUGCAAUGAGCAGACUGUAAAGACUGAAAUUAUUCAGGCAGUCUGUCAGUGACAGAAAUCAGGACAAGAACAAGACAUCAAAAGCAAGCAACCAAAGCCACGGUGUAAUGUUUACAACAGACAGAACAAUAGAGACCUACAUUUGAUGACAGUGUUCAUGUUUUUAUCAGUGAAACACGUAAACUCACAGAUGUGCAGACAUUUUUGCUGUUUUCAUUUGGGAAAUCAUUCCCCUUCUUCAACCUCAGAUUUUUGAUUAUCCUGUUAUGUGUUGCUCUGAUUGGAUUGCAUGGGAGUGGUGUGUGUUUUUCCGAAAGUCCCACCUGAUUUUUCUCUGAAUUUUACCAAAAGGGCUGGCAAAAAAAUUCAAGAUGAAGUCAGACUGAGAUUUUAUCUGUUUUCCUUCACACAUGCUGCCCACCA
Non-coding RNA from Xyrichtys novacula (pearly razorfish), 6440 nucleotides. The record is from the annotation of a GenBank genome assembly. Lineage: Eukaryota; Metazoa; Chordata; Actinopteri; Labriformes; Labridae.